RNAcentral lists this ribosomal RNA (253 nucleotides) under uncultured bacterium. RNAcentral describes it as "partial 16S ribosomal RNA". It matches the Rfam family "Bacterial small subunit ribosomal RNA", at positions 524 to 776 of the family's 1533-position model. The record is from RNAcentral.
UACGUAGGGGGCAAGCGUUGUCCGGAUUCAUUGGGCGUAAAGAGCGUGUAGGCGGCUAGAUAGGUCCGUUGUGAAAACUCGAGGCUCAACCUCGAGACGCCGGUGGAAACCAUCAGGCUAGAGUCCGGAAGAGGAGAGUGGAAUUCCUGGUGUAGCGGUGAAAUGCGCAGAUAUCAGGAAGAACACCCGUGGCUAAGGCGGCUCUCUAGUACGGUACUGACGCUGAGACGCGAAAGCGUGGGGAGCGAACAGG